Molecule: long non-coding RNA, 1225 nt
Filed under: Salvia miltiorrhiza (redroot sage)
Lineage: Eukaryota; Viridiplantae; Streptophyta; Magnoliopsida; Lamiales; Lamiaceae
Description: long non-coding RNA (SMIL_LNC012370)
Source: RNAcentral
AUUGAUUUAAUUAAUAAAGUAGAAUAAUAAUAAAAAAAUACUUAAAGAUCAUUUUCUUUAGGAAAAGUAGCUAAUUUUCUAAUUUAAAACCAAGUUCAGUUACGUAAAUAUAUUAAUGCAGUAGAUCAAUCCAUUAACAAAAUAGAACUUAAGUCCAAGACUUAAAAUCCAACAUCAUUUCCCUUUAAUUAAAACAAGGCUAAACUUAAGCCCAUUUAUGCAAAUAGCCCAACACCCAUUCUUCUCCAUUAAAUUUCGCUAUCUCUCUCUAAUUCACUACACACACACGCACACCCUCACAAACAUACAACUCACGCCUCUUCCCUCUCAGCCGCUCUCUCUCUCUUCUCUCCACCCCUCUCUCUCCCUCUCGGCCUCCUACCACCGCGCCACCAGACGGCCGCCACCGCGACGGACAGCAGCACAGCCCAACGCUUCUCCCUCCGCCCUGACCGGAAAUACUCAGCAGCGGCAGAGACCACGGUGCCGCUGCCCCUGUUUCCUCUCGCCGUACGCCGCCCUCUCUCCCUUUCCAGAUCCGGCCAGACAACCAUCUGACGCCGCCCCCUGCUCCGGCGGGUAGCUCCUCAUCCCACUUCAUCCCAACUCCCUUUAUCAAUAUAGGUUUCUAAAUCUAAAUUUGUUUUCUGUAAAAUCAAUGAAUAUGUAUUCCUUUUCGAUUUCUUAUGAAUUACAAACACUAGAUCUAAUGAUGUGUGUAUGCAUGUUUGGAUUUAUAAAAAUAAGAAUUUUGUGGGAGUUUGGUUGUUUUCUGUAAAUUGAAAGAAAGCAGAGAUCUUUGCAUAUGAAAAUAAAACUAUACAAGUUUAUGAGAAUUACCGAUUGAUGAUGUGCAGUGAGAAAUGGCAGAUUGAAUUAUUUUGUGAAAAGAGCAAAUGGAGAAAUCUGUUGAUGGUUUAUGAUUUGAAACUGAUGGAAUGAGAAUGAUACAAUGAGGUUUAAAUAGAUUGAAUUACUUGUUUGAACAUAAACGUGUGAAAGAGAUCAAUCAAAGUUUGCUGCUUCAAAAUUUGCUGCUGUGGAAAUCAAAUUUUACGGAAAGGCUUUUGAAUCUUCUGUUUGCUUUUGAAUUGAAGAUGUUGGGGAUUUUAGAAUUUGAGAGUAAAAUGAAUUGUGAGAGUUUAAAAUUAUUAAAAAUUGUAUUUUGUGCAAAUAUAGAAGUGAACUGUAGGAAAAUGAAAAUUUGCAGAAAUAAUAAAAUUAC